This 910-nucleotide ribosomal RNA is filed under the name uncultured bacterium. RNAcentral describes it as "bacterial SSU rRNA". It matches the Rfam family "Bacterial small subunit ribosomal RNA", at positions 33 to 943 of the family's 1533-position model. The record is from RNAcentral.
ACGCUGGCGGCAGGCUUAACACAUGCAAGUCGAACGAAGUUAGGAAGCUUGCUUCUGAUACUUAGUGGCGGACGGGUGAGUAAUGCUUAGGAAUCUGCCUAGUAGUGGGGGAUAACUUGGGGAAACCCAAGCUAAUACCGCAUACGACCUACGGGUGAAAGGGGGCUUUUAGCCCUCGCUAUUAGAUGAGCCUAAGUCGGAUUAGCUGGUUGGUGGGGUAAAGGCCUACCAAGGCGACGAUCUGUAGCUGGUCUGAGAGGAUGAUCAGCCACACUGGGACUGAGACACGGCCCAGACUCCUACGGGAGGCAGCAGUGGGAAUAUUGGACAAUGGGCGAAAGCCUGAUCCAGCCAUGCCGCGUGUGUGAAGAAGGCCUUUUGGUUGUAAAGCACUUUAAGUGGGGAGGAAAAGCUUAUGGUUAAUACCCAUAAGCCCUGACGUUACCCACAGAAUAAGCACCGGCUAACUCUGUGCCAGCAGCCGCGGUAAUACAGAGGGUGCAAGCGUUAAUCGGAAUUACUGGGCGUAAAGCGCGCGUAGGUGGUUAUUUAAGUCAGAUGUGAAAGCCCCGGGCUUAACCUGGGAACUGCAUCUGAUACUGGAUAACUAGAGUAGGUGAGAGGGGAGUAGAAUUCCAGGUGUAGCGGUGAAAUGCGUAGAGAUCUGGAGGAAUACCGAUGGCGAAGGCAGCUCCCUGGCAUCAUACUGACACUGAGGUGCGAAAGCGUGGGUAGCAAACAGGAUUAGAUACCCUGGUAGUCCACGCCGUAAACGAUGUCUACCAGUCGUUGGGUCUUUUAAAGACUUAGUGACGCAGUUAACGCAAUAAGUAGACCGCCUGGGGAGUACGGCCGCAAGGUUAAAACUCAAAUGAAUUGACGGGGGCCCGCACAAGCGGUGGAGCAUGUG